UAUAAGAGGUCCUGCCUGCCCAGUGACUAUAUGUUCAACGGCCGCGGUACUUUGACCGUGCGAAGGUAGCGCAAUCACUUGUCUUUUAAAUGGAGACCUGUAUGAAUGGCACAACGAGGGCUUAACUGUCUCCUUUUUCCAGUCAAUGAAAUUGAUCUUCCCGUGCAGAAGCGGGAAUAAUAUCAUAAGACGAGAAGACCCUGUGGAGCUUUAGACACUAAAUCAGCCCUUGUCCAAAAAUCCCAAUUAAAGGAAUGAACACUAGAGUGAGACCUGAUCUAAUGUCUUCGGUUGGGGCGACCUUGGGGAAAGAAAAAUCCCCCAUGCGGAACGGAAAUACCAUGUUUCCAAAACUAAGAGAGACCACUCAAAGUAUCAAAAAUUUUGACCAACUAUAUGAUCCGGCUUAACGCCGAUCAACGGACCGAGUUACCCCAGGGAUAACAGCGCAAUCCUCUUUUAGAGCCCAUAUCGACAAGAGGGUUUACGACCUCGAUGUUGGAUCAGGACAUCCUAAUGGUGCAGCCGCUAUUAAGGGUUCGUUUGUUCAACGAUUAAAGUCCU
Molecule: ribosomal RNA, 564 nt
Filed under: Amphiprion melanopus (fire clownfish)
Lineage: Eukaryota; Metazoa; Chordata; Actinopteri; Pomacentridae
Description: partial 16S ribosomal RNA
Rfam family: Bacterial large subunit ribosomal RNA
Source: RNAcentral